This is a non-coding RNA of Microbotryomycetes sp. JL221, 86 nucleotides long. The record is from the annotation of a GenBank genome assembly. Lineage: Eukaryota; Fungi; Basidiomycota; Microbotryomycetes.
GCCUUUGUAGUCUAGCGGUUAUGAUUCACCCUUAGGGUUUCCGUAACAUUUGGGUGAGGUCCCCGGUUCGAUUCCGGGCAAAGGCC